RNAcentral lists this long non-coding RNA (2409 nucleotides) under Phasianus colchicus (ring-necked pheasant). RNAcentral's name for it is "lncRNA (ENSPCLG00000014147.1)". Lineage: Eukaryota; Metazoa; Chordata; Aves; Galliformes; Phasianidae. The record is from RNAcentral.
AUGUCCCCAACCAUUGGGGUCCCCAUGUCCCCAUCUCCACCCCAACAUCCCCAACCAUUGGAGUCCCUACCUCCCCACCCCGAUGUCCCCAACCAUUGGGGUCCCCAUGUCCCCAUCUCCACACCAACACCCCAAACCAUUAGGAUCCCCAAAACCCCAUCCCAACAUCCCCAACCAUUGGGGUCCCCAUGCCCUCAUCUCCACCCCAACAUCCCCAACCAUUGGGGUCCCUACCUCCCCACCCCGAUGUCCCCAGCCAUUGGGGUCCCCAUGUCCCCAUCUCCACACCAACACCCCAAACCAUUAGGAUCUCCAUCCCCCCAUCCCAACCAUUGGAGUCCCCACCUCCCCACCCCAAUGUUCCCAACCAUUGGUGCCUCCAUGCCCCCAUCUCCACACCAGUGCCCCCCAGCAUCGGUAUCCCUAUGUCCCUAUUUCCAUCCCAGCAUUGCCAACCAUUGGGGUCUCCAUGUCCUCAUCUGCACCCCAAUAUCCCAAACCAUUGGGGUCCCCAUGUCCCCACCCCAGUGUCUCCAACCAUUGGGGUCUUCAUGUCUCCAUCUCCAUACCAAUAACCCAACAAUUGGGGUCCCCAUGUCCCCACCCCAAUGUCCCCAGCUAUUGGAGUCUCCAUGUUCCCAUCUCAUCUCAAGGUUCUCAGCCAUCGGGGUCCCCAUGUCCCCACUCCAACGUCCCCAAAAAUCGAGUCCCCAUGUCCUCAUCUCAACAUCCCCAACCACUGGGGUCCCCCUGUCCUUAUCUCCACCCCAAUGUCUCCAGCCAUUGGGGUCUCCAUGUCCUUGUGUCCAUCCCAACAUCCCAGCCAUUGGGGUUCCCAUAUCCCCACCCCCAGGUCCCCAUUUCUCAGGGUCCCCACCUCUACCCCAAUGUCCUCAAACAUUGGGGUCUUCACGUCCCGUGUCCCCAUCCCAAUGUUUGCAUCCCUUCAGGUCCCCAUCUCCUGGGGUCCCCAUUCCAAUGUCCCCACUUCUUGGGGUCCUUAUCCCUGACGGUCCCUAUUUCUUGGGGUCUCCACCCCAAUGCCUCCAUUUCUUGGGGUCUCCGUCCUUUAGGGUCUCCAUCCCAAUGUCCUUAUUUCUCAGUGUCCCCACCUCAAUGUCCCCACCCCUUCAGGACCCCAUUUCUUGGGGUCCCCAUUUUAAUGUCCCCACUUUUUGGUGUUUCCAUUUGUUAGGGUCCUCAUCCCUUCGGAUCCUCAUUUCCUGGGGUCUCCAUCCCAGUGUCCCCAUUUCUCGGGAUUCCCAUCCCAAUGUCCCCAACCCCUCAACUCCCCAUUUCUUGGGGUCUCCAUCCUUUCGGAUCCCCAUCCCUUACAGUCCCCAAUUCCUGGAGUCCCCAUCUCAGCGUCCCCAUCUCUUGGGGUCCCCAUCCUCAGUGUCCCCAUUUCUCAAGUUCUCCAUCCCAAUAUUCUCCAUCCCAACGUCUCCAAACUUUAAGGUCCCCAUCCCAAUGUCCCCACUCCUUUGGGUCCCCAUUUCUUCGUGUCCCCACCCUGGUGUCCCUCCCCAGCCCCCCCCGUGUCCCCAUGUCCCCGCUCACCCGCUGUCCCCAGCGCCAGCGCCAGGCAGGCGGCCAGGAGGGCCCGGCAGGACGGAGCGGCCAUGGGGACGGGGACGGGGACGGGGACGGGCCCUGGGUGGCAGCCUGGGGGAAGGACAGCGAUUGGCACCGCCACCCACGGCCCCACCAUGUCCCCACGUCCCCACUGCCAUGUCUGUCCCCAUCCCUGUCCCAUCCAUGUCCUCAACCGUGUCCAUCCCUGUCCCUAUCCCUGUCCCCAUUUGUCCCCAUCCAUGUCCCAUCCAUGUCCCCAUCCAUGUUCCCAUCCAUGUCCCCAUCCAUGUCCCAUCCAUGUCCCAUCCCUGUCCCCAUCCAUGUCCCAUCCAUGUCCCAUCCAUGUCCCCAACCAUGUUCCCAUCCAUGUCCCCAUCCAUGUCCCAUCCAUGUCCCAUUCCUGGCCCCAUUUGUCCCCAUCCAUGUCCCCAUCCCUAUUCCCAUCCUUGUCCCAUCGCUGUCCCCAUCCUCGUCCCAUCCAUGUCCCUUCCAUGUCCCCAACCCUGUCCCUUCCAUGUCCCAUCCCUGUCCCAUCCCUGUCCCAUCCGUGUCCCCAUCCCUGUCCCAUUCCUCAUCCCCAUGCCCUGUCCCCAUCCCAGUCCCAUCCCAGUCCCAUCCCUGUCCCAUCCAUGCUCCUAUACCCUGUCCCAUCCCUGUCCCAUCCGUGUCCCCUCCCAUCCCCUCCACUGUCGCCUCUGUCCCCAGUCUGUCUCGUCCUUCCCCCCCGUUCCCGUGUUGUCCCCUCUGUCCCCUCCUGUCCCCAUGCCGUUUCAUCCCGUUCCACCAUCGCCUUCUGUCCCCCUCCUGCCCCCCCAUCCCAUUCUGUCUCCCAUU